GAUGAACGCUGGCGGCGUGCCUAAUACAUGCAAGUCGAGCGAACAGACGCGGAGCUUGCUCCUCUGACGUUUGCGGCGCACGUGUGUGUAACACGUGGAUACCCUCCCUAUAUGACUGAGAUAACUUCGGGAAACCGGCGCUAAUUCCGGAUAAUCUUUUUAACCACAUGGUUCAAUGGUAAAAGACUGUUUUUCUGUCCAUUAUACAUGGAUCCGCGCCGCAUUAGCUAGGUGGGAAGGUAAUGGCUUCCCAAGGCAACGAUGCGUAGCCGACGUGAGAGAGUGGUCGGCCACACGAGAACGGAGACACGGACCAGACGCCUGCGAGAGGCAGCAGUAGGGAAUCUGACGCAAUGGGCGAAAGCUUGACGGAGCAAGGCCGCGUGAGUGAUGACGGUCUUCGGAUCGUAAAACUGUGUUAUGAGGGAAGAACAAAUGUGUAAGGAACUAUGCAGUACGUGACGGUACCUGAUGAAAAAGCCACGGCUAACUACGUG
Molecule: ribosomal RNA, 497 nt
Filed under: uncultured bacterium
Lineage: Bacteria
Description: partial 16S ribosomal RNA
Rfam family: Bacterial small subunit ribosomal RNA
Source: RNAcentral